UCCAGACUCCUACGGGAGGCAGCAGUGGGGAUUAUUGCACAAUGGGGGAAACCCUGAUGCAGCAACGCCGCGUGAGCGAGGAAGUAUUUCGGUAUGUAAAGCUCUAUCAGCAGGGACGAAAAAAGACGGUACCUGACUAAGAAGCCCCGGCUAACUACGUGCCAGCAGCCGCGGUAAUACGUAGGGGGCAAGCGUUAUCCGGAUUUACUGGGUGUAAAGGGAGCGUAGACGGCAAGGCAAGCCAGAAGUGAAAGGGCAGGGCUCAACCCUGUACAUGCUUUUGGAACUGUGGUGCUAGAGUGCAGGAGAGGUAAGUGGAAUUCCUAGUGUAGCGGUGAAAUGCGUAGAUAUUAGGAGGAACACCAGUGGCGAAGGCGGCUUACUGGACUGUAACUGACGUUGAGGCUCGAAAGCGUGGGGAGCAAACAGGAUUAGAUACCCCCGUA
This 446-nucleotide ribosomal RNA is filed under the name uncultured bacterium. RNAcentral describes it as "bacterial SSU rRNA". It matches the Rfam family "Bacterial small subunit ribosomal RNA", at positions 330 to 792 of the family's 1533-position model. The record is from RNAcentral.